Molecule: non-coding RNA, 23 nt
Filed under: Rattus norvegicus (Norway rat)
Lineage: Eukaryota; Metazoa; Chordata; Mammalia; Rodentia; Muridae
Source: RNAcentral
UGCUCGACAUAUCUUCUGCCUGG